UAUGUUUUUCUGUAAUUAAUUCAAAUAAUUCAUAUAUGCAGUUUCUAUGGUCCAAUUGUGUUAAAAUUUUUAUGAUGGGUUCAUUAUUGUAUGCUUGAACUACGUAAAAAUUACGUACUCAUUGGAUCACGUAUAACUUAGUUAUCGAUUUAUUUAGCUCUAUUCUUGUUAAAUCUAUGCAUUCACAUCGAAUCAGAUGAGAGAGAAGUUU
This 211-nucleotide long non-coding RNA is filed under the name Sorghum bicolor (sorghum). RNAcentral describes it as "long non-coding RNA (SBIC_LNC002018)". Lineage: Eukaryota; Viridiplantae; Streptophyta; Magnoliopsida; Poales; Poaceae. The record is from RNAcentral.